AUUGAACGCUGGCGGCAGGCCUAACACAUGCAAGUCGAGCGGAUGAAGGGAGCUUGCUCCUGGAUUCAGCGGCGGACGGGUGAGUAAUGCCUAGGAAUCUGCCUGGUAGUGGGGGAUAACGUCCGGAAACGGGCGCUAAUACCGCAUACGUCCUGAGGGAGAAAGUGGGGGAUCUUCGGACCUCACGCUCUCAGAUGAGCCUAGGUCGGAUUAGCUAGUUGGUGGGGUAAAGGCCUACCAAGGCGACGAUCCGUAACUGGUCUGAGAGGAUGAUCAGUCACACGGGAACUGAGACACGGUCCAGACUCCGACGGGAGGCAGCAGUGGGGAAUAUUGGACAAUGGGCGAAAGCCUGAUCCAGCCAUGCCGCGUGUGUGAAGAAGGUCUUCGGAUUGUAAAGCACUUUAAGUUGGGAGGAAGGGCAGUAAGUUAAUACCUUGCUGUUUUGACGUUACCAACAGAAUAAGCACCGGCUAACUUCGUG
RNAcentral lists this ribosomal RNA (484 nucleotides) under uncultured bacterium. RNAcentral describes it as "partial 16S ribosomal RNA". It matches the Rfam family "Bacterial small subunit ribosomal RNA", at positions 30 to 507 of the family's 1533-position model. The record is from RNAcentral.